RNAcentral lists this transfer RNA (95 nucleotides) under Aspergillus pseudodeflectus. RNAcentral's name for it is "tRNA-Arg". It matches the Rfam family "tRNA". Rfam says of the family: Transfer RNA (tRNA) molecules are approximately 80 nucleotides in length. Their secondary structure includes four short double-helical elements and three loops (D, anti-codon, and T loops). The record is from RNAcentral. Lineage: Eukaryota; Fungi; Ascomycota; Eurotiomycetes; Eurotiales; Aspergillaceae. RNAcentral also lists the same sequence under 1 other name.
GCCCCAGUGGCCUAGUGGUAAGGCGUGUGACUUCUAUCCAUGAAUUCUUCUGAAUGGAAAUCUCAAGAUCGCGGGUUCGACCCCCGCCUGGGGUU